RNAcentral lists this ribosomal RNA (253 nucleotides) under uncultured bacterium. Its description in RNAcentral is "partial 16S ribosomal RNA". It matches the Rfam family "Bacterial small subunit ribosomal RNA", at positions 524 to 776 of the family's 1533-position model. The record is from RNAcentral.
UACGUAGGGGGCAAGCGUUGUCCGGAUUUAUUGGGCGUAAAGAGCGUGUAGGCGGCUUUGUAGGUCCGCUGUGAAAACUCGAGGCUCAACCUCGAGCUGUCGGUGGAAACCGUAAAGCUAGAGUCCGGAAGAGGAGAGUGGAAUUCCCGGUGUAGCGGUGAAAUGCGCAGAUAUCGGGAAGAACACCCGUGGCGAAGGCGGCUCUCUGGGACGGUACUGACGCUGAGACGCGAAAGCGUGGGGAGCGAACAGG